UACAGAGGUGGCAAGCGUUGUUCGGAAUUACUGGGCGUAAAGGGCGAGUAGGCGGCGUUCUAAGUCAGACGUGAAAUCCCCCGGCUUAACCUGGGAACUGCGUCUGAUACUGGGAGGCUAGAGUAUGGGAGAGGGAUGUGGAAUUCCAGGUGUAGCGGUGAAAUGCGUAGAUAUCUGGAGGAACACCGGUGGCGAAGGCGGCAUCCUGGACCGGUAUUGACGCUGAGGAGCGAAAGCCAGGGGAGCAAACGGG
RNAcentral lists this ribosomal RNA (253 nucleotides) under uncultured bacterium. RNAcentral describes it as "partial 16S ribosomal RNA". It matches the Rfam family "Bacterial small subunit ribosomal RNA", at positions 524 to 776 of the family's 1533-position model. The record is from RNAcentral.